Molecule: small RNA, 3150 nt
Filed under: Pan troglodytes (chimpanzee)
Lineage: Eukaryota; Metazoa; Chordata; Mammalia; Primates; Hominidae
Description: retained intron
Source: RNAcentral
CUACAGUAGGCCUUCUUCUGUAUCUGGCUUUAUUCAGACAGCAGGAUGUUUAUAGUAUUCAUCGCUGACGUUCUCAGUAUCGAUAUCAAUAGCUCGUUCCUUCUUGCAGGGUAAUAGUCCAUUGUGUGCACAUGGAACAAGUUGCUCGUCCUUCCCCUGCCCCAAGUGGGCACUGGGUUCACUCUGCUUAACUGUUUGAAAAACUGUCAGACUGUUUUCUGAAGUGGCGGCAGCAGCUUCCACGCCACCCGCAGUCUCAGGCUUCGUUUCUUCACAUCCUCACCCAAACUGGUUCUCACCUGUUUUUACUGACACCGUCCCCGCGGGAGUGAAGUGGUGUCUUGUGGUUUGGAUUUGUGGCUCCCUCAUGGCUGAUGGUGCUGAGCACUGUCGUGUGCCCGGUGCCCGCUGACGCCUCCCUGGGAGCAGCGCCUGUGCAGGCCCCUGCCCACUGUUCCGCUCACUUUCAGGGCCGGUAGCGACGUGGUUGGGUGCAAGCCAACGGUUGUCCUUCUUCCCCUCAUGUUAUUUGUUCUGUUCUUCCUUUCUUGCCCUCUUUUGUAUUGAAUAUUUUUAUGUUCAAUUUAAUCUUCUUUACUGUUUUUAAGCAUUAUAUUUUUGUUUUAUUUUUCAGCGGUUGCUCUAAGAAUUGCAAUAUGCAACCUUAACCGAUCACCCUCCUCCUUAACUAACUAUGAUACUGCUUCAUGGAUAGGGUAAGAAGCUUACAACAGUAUCAAGUGUGGUACUCCCAAUAAUAUAUUCUUUAAAAUUUUUGCUUAAGCAGUCAAUGAUCUUUCAAGAAAGUUAAGAAAAAUUAAGAAACUGCCCAUAUAUUGACGUUUUCCGGUGAGCCUCAUUUCUUCUUAAAGACCCAGGGUUCUAGCUUGCAUUUUUUCCCAGUAGUCCUCACCCGUGCACGCCUCAGGCGCCAGGUGGCACAUGGUGAUCCCCCCAUCACCACGCUGGAAAGAGCAGUGAGGCCGGCUCUGGUGCUGGCGUCUUAUGUUGCCAAUGACACUGCCUGGCCCCAUCCUAGCUCCUUCCUUCCACAGGCACAGGUAACAGCAUCAUGGUCAUGAAAAUGAAUGGAUCCCUCCAUCAAGAAUUGAAGAUUGAGGAGAACUUCAAAGACACCAGUACCUCCUUCCUGGCCUUCCAGCUCCUUCCUGAGGUAUCCCAGCAGGGGCUGUGGGCCCAGCACGCGCGUGGCCCGGGGCCCAUAGCCCACACCGUGCCCUGUGUUUCAGGAGGAGCAGCUGUGGGCGGCCUGUGCAGGACGCAGCGAGGUUUACAUCUGGAGCCUGAAGGACCUGGCCCAGCCCCCGCAGAGGGUGCCCCUCAAGGACUGCUCUGAGAUCAACUGCAUGAUCCGGGUGAAGAAGCAGGUCUGGGUGGGCAGCCGAGGGCUGGGGCAGGGAACACCCAAGGGGAAAAUCUACGUGAUUGACGCCGAGAGGAGGACCGUGGAGAAGGAGCUGGUGGCGCACAUGGACACCGUGAGGACGCUGUGCUCGGCUGAGGACAGAUACGUGCUGAGUGGGUCGGGCAGGGAGGAGGGGAAGGUCGCCAUUUGGAAAGGGGAAUAAACGUGGCUGAGUCUGCCAAGUGGAACUGUGCCCUAUGUGUGGGGACUGGCUGCCCCCUAGAGCCUGCCAGAAGCAGAAGCCUGGAGGGGUGGCAGGGCAGAGCAGCCCAGGCUCAGCAUGGAGCCCACUUACCGUGUGGCCAGCCGCGAGACCCAUGGCCACGCACCUUCUCUCAGGCCUUCGGGCCCCCUGGUUAAACUGCACCAAGGGUGUUUCCUGUUGGGGUGUGUCUCAGGCAGGCAGCUGCGUCUUGUUGGUGAUAACCUCUGCUGGGAGGUUACUUUGUUGCCUAGAAAGUUCUGGAAUCCACAACCAGGGGCUGGCACUGGAGCCAGCAGCUUGGCCGAGUCACAGGUGACCCGUGGCCCUCACGUCUCUGGUUUUACCUUUCCUUACUUCCUUCAUUCACUCACCCAGUCCUUACGAAUCACCGAGGAACACUGGGCUGGGCACAUGACAGGGAACCGGGAGCCCCGGGGCCUCCAGCGAGGCCUGAGAAGGGUGGUUCGGGUAACCACUGUGGGCUCUCUCCCAUCACAGAAGGUGGACAGGGCCUACCCAGGUGGAGGGGACCACCCUGCGAUCAGGUGUUUGCGACAGGGGUUGGGCCAGCUGAGGCAAGCUGUCUUUUUUCCUUUUCUUUUUAAUAGAUGCAACAUUUUUAUAAUCAUCCUAGAGACCUUUUUUCUACCAAAGAUUCCAGACCAGAAAAAGUUCCAUCUAAAAUAUCAUGCCCAGGAAAGCACAUGGGAUCAAAAGUAAAACAGCAUCACGUGUGAUCUCGUCUUCCAGCGUGCCGCUCAGUUCCCCGAAUCCGUGUGCACACGUGUGAUCUCGUCUUCAGCGUGCCGCUCAGUUCCCCGAAUCCGUGUGCACACUGCGUAUGUGUACGCGCAGCAUGCUCUACUGAACUCAACAAGAUCUUAGCUGUACAUAAAUAUUUGCAAAAGAGACCCUUUGCACCUUUUUACUGUAAUGUUGAGAUUUCAUUACUUAAAUGUUCUAUGGAAGGUUCUGGUGUGGUUGUUGGAGCCGGAGGGAGCGUGUCAGCACGUGCUGAGGACAUGGGGCCUGCCCCCUGGGCACCCAUCCACAAGCUGGGCCACGGAGCCCCAGCUUCUCAGGACAAAGCCCCAGGGCCGGCGCAUCCUGAGGGUCUCUGGGGGUGUUUGCCAGGCUCCUGGGAUGGGCCGCUUUCAGAAGCUCUGCAGUGCCUCCAGAUGGAAAGGCGGGCCCGGCCUCCGGUUGGGUCUGCAUUUUGGAGAGUCCACACCACGGACCAGGUUUUCCCCCAAGGCUUGGCUUUGCAUAGCCACUAACUUCUUGGGGCGUUCUGAGAGUGCGGGCGGAGAGAAUUAUGUGGCCUCAUCCUCCCCCAAGGCUGUGCUUGCAGCCCGGGCACCUUCCCACUUUCUAGCUGCGGAGAGGUUGGAUUUUGCUUUUGUAAACACAUGAAUCCUUAUGAUAAAAGUCUGUCAGAAAUACAUUUAUAAAUUAUUUAAUGCCAGUCCUCAUGUAACCUCAGGUAUCUUCAGCUUGUGGAGAAUAAAUCUGGUUUAAU